AUACCUUUCUCGAUCUUUUGGAUAAGAUCAAGUGUAGUAUAUGUUAUCAGUUUAUGAUACUAUUAUCUGGCAUGUCAGCUAUGUGCGCCCACUUUGAUAUUAAAUUUAUUUUUUUGGGGAGGAUUCACCGUAGUGGCUUGCAACUAGGAGGACCCUCGUGUAUUGCUUGGGCAUUGCAUUGCUGCCCAUCUUAGCGCACCCCAA
Molecule: small nuclear RNA, 204 nt
Filed under: Oryza longistaminata (longstamen rice)
Lineage: Eukaryota; Viridiplantae; Streptophyta; Magnoliopsida; Poales; Poaceae
Description: snRNA U2
Rfam family: U2 spliceosomal RNA
About the family: U2 is a small nuclear RNA (snRNA) component of the spliceosome (involved in pre-mRNA splicing). Complementary binding between U2 snRNA (in an area lying towards the 5' end but 3' to hairpin I) and the branchpoint sequence (BPS) of the intron results the bulging out of an unpaired adenosine, on the BPS, which initiates a nucleophilic attack at the intronic 5' splice site, thus starting the first of two transesterification reactions that mediate splicing.
Source: RNAcentral